GUAAAUAAUUAUGAAGUAGUGGGGCUUCAGGAAGUUGAAUUCUCUCUGUGGAAACUUCACUAUAAACACAUUGAUGAGUUUCGUAAAAGGAUUCGGCAGGCUAAUGCUGAAAAAAAGAAAAUUGAAACACAAGAAGGUGAUUCAAGUGCUGCCCGAGAGAUUGACAAUCAUAUGGAAGGGCUCAAGUCAUUUCUGUCUGAAGCUACUGAGUUCUAUCAGGAGUUAACUAAAAAACUCAGACAAAGUUGUGGGCUCCCCAGGGAAUUGUUACUCUGUAAGAAUGGUAGCAUGUCACUUCCUCUUGUACCCAUGAAGCUGCCUCAAUGCCAAUAUGCAUGCCACCGUUUUCUAAUUUGUCUGGGAGACCUGGCCAGAUAUGGUGAACUUUGUAAGAAACCGGAUGCAUUUAAGUGGUCUUUAGCGGCCACAUACUACUUCGAGGCAUCUAGGAUAUGGCCAGACAGUGGAAAUCCUCAUAAUCAGCUUGCACUAUUGGCAACAUACACUGGUGACCCUUUCCUUGCCUUAUACCAUUGCGUCAGAAGU
Molecule: unclassified non-coding RNA, 546 nt
Filed under: Hevea brasiliensis (rubber tree)
Lineage: Eukaryota; Viridiplantae; Streptophyta; Magnoliopsida; Malpighiales; Euphorbiaceae
Source: RNAcentral